UACGGGGGGAGCGAGCGUUAUUCGGUCAAAUUGGGCGUAAAGGGCCUGUAGGCAGAAUUUUGUAGGUAAUUAGUGAAAUAUCAGAGCUUAACUCUGAGAAAGCUUUUUAAACUAUUUUUUCUGGGAUAGUAUACGGGAUAGUUUUAUUUCUUAAGUAAGGAUGGAAUCUUUAGAUAAAAGAAAGAAGAUCUUGGGUGAAAACAACUAUCUAGUUUCAUUUAUCGACGCUGAGAGGCUAAAGCACGGGGAGCAAACAGG
RNAcentral lists this unclassified non-coding RNA (258 nucleotides) under uncultured bacterium. RNAcentral describes it as "contains 16S-23S intergenic spacer region". It matches the Rfam family "Bacterial small subunit ribosomal RNA", at positions 524 to 776 of the family's 1533-position model. The record is from RNAcentral.